GCCGAAGUGAUGGAAUUGGCAGACGUGCUGGACUCAAAAUCCAGUGGUAGCAAUACCGUGCGGGUUCGACCCCCGCCUUCGGCACCA
RNAcentral lists this transfer RNA (87 nucleotides) under [Butyribacterium] methylotrophicum. RNAcentral's name for it is "tRNA-Leu". It matches the Rfam family "tRNA". From Rfam's summary of the family: Transfer RNA (tRNA) molecules are approximately 80 nucleotides in length. Their secondary structure includes four short double-helical elements and three loops (D, anti-codon, and T loops). RNAcentral also lists the same sequence under 7 other names. The record is from RNAcentral. Lineage: Bacteria; Bacillati; Bacillota; Clostridia; Eubacteriales; Clostridiaceae.